UACGUAGGGGGCAAGCGUUGUCCGGAAUCAUUGGGCGUAAAGAGCGCGUAGGCGGCCCAGUAAGUCCGCUCUGAAAGUCAGGGGCUCAACCCCUGGAUGCGGGUGGAUACUGCUGGGCUAGAGUCCGGAAGAGGUGAGUGGAAUUCCUGGUGUAGCGGUGAAAUGCGCAGAUAUCAGGAAGAACACCCGUGGCUAAGGCGGCUCUCUAGUACGUGACUGACGCUGAGACGCGAAAGCGUGGGGAGCGAACAGG
This 253-nucleotide ribosomal RNA is filed under the name uncultured bacterium. RNAcentral describes it as "partial 16S ribosomal RNA". It matches the Rfam family "Bacterial small subunit ribosomal RNA", at positions 524 to 776 of the family's 1533-position model. The record is from RNAcentral.